AGUUUAUGGGGCAGGCUUUUUGGACAGGGGUUCGACUCCCCUCGUCUCCACCA
Molecule: transfer-messenger RNA, 53 nt
Filed under: Dialister micraerophilus
Lineage: Bacteria; Bacillati; Bacillota; Negativicutes; Veillonellales; Veillonellaceae
Description: partial transfer-messenger RNA
Rfam family: transfer-messenger RNA
About the family: Bacterial tmRNA, also known as 10Sa RNA or SsrA, is named for its dual tRNA and mRNA-like properties. Its role is to liberate the mRNA from a stalled ribosome.
Source: RNAcentral